This 334-nucleotide unclassified non-coding RNA is filed under the name soil metagenome. Its description in RNAcentral is "partial contains 5.8S ribosomal RNA, internal transcribed spacer 2, and large subunit ribosomal RNA". The stretch from base 1 to 120 matches the Rfam family "5.8S ribosomal RNA", at positions 35 to 154 of the family's 154-position model. The record is from RNAcentral.
GAUGAAGAACGUAGCGAAAUGCGAUACGUAAUGUGAAUUGCAGAAUUCAGUGAAUCACCGAAUCUUUGAACGCACAUUGCGCCCGCCAGCACUCUGGCGGGCAUGCCUGUUCGAGCGUCAUUUCAACCAUCAAGCCCCAGGCUUGCGUUGGAGCCCUGCGGCUGCCGCAGCCUCCUAAAAGCAGUGGCGGGCUCGCUAUCACACCGAGUGCAGUAGAUUACUCUUCGCUCAGGGCGUGCAGCGGGUUCCGGCCGUGAAACCCCCUACUUUUAAAGGUUGACCUCGGAUCAGGUAGGAAUACCCGCUGAACUUAAGCAUAUCAAUAAGCGGAGGA